This 465-nucleotide ribosomal RNA is filed under the name Vreelandella stevensii. Its description in RNAcentral is "partial 16S ribosomal RNA". It matches the Rfam family "Bacterial small subunit ribosomal RNA", at positions 338 to 795 of the family's 1533-position model. Lineage: Bacteria; Pseudomonadati; Pseudomonadota; Gammaproteobacteria; Oceanospirillales; Halomonadaceae. The record is from RNAcentral.
CCUACGGGUGGCUGCAGUGGGAAAUAUUGGACAAUGGGGGCAACCCUGAUCCAGCCAUGCCGCGUGUGUGAAGAAGGCCCUCGGGUUGUAAAGCACUUUCAGUGAGGAAGAACGCCUGGUGGUUAAUACCCAUCAGGAAAGACAUCACUCACAGAAGAAGCACCGGCUAACUCCGUGCCAGCAGCCGCGGUAAUACGGAGGGUGCGAGCGUUAAUCGGAAUUACUGGGCGUAAAGCGCGCGUAGGUGGCUUGAUAAGCCGGUUGUGAAAGCCCCGGGCUCAACCUGGGAACGGCAUCCGGAACUGUCAAGCUAGAGUGCAGGAGAGGAAGGUAGAAUUCCCGGUGUAGCGGUGAAAUGCGUAGAGAUCGGGAGGAAUACCAGUGGCGAAGGCGGCCUUCUGGACUGACACUGACACUGAGGUGCGAAAGCGUGGGUAGCAAACAGGAUUAGAUACCCGUGUAGUC